RNAcentral lists this ribosomal RNA (169 nucleotides) under uncultured bacterium. Its description in RNAcentral is "partial 16S ribosomal RNA". It matches the Rfam family "Bacterial small subunit ribosomal RNA", at positions 338 to 524 of the family's 1533-position model. The record is from RNAcentral. RNAcentral also lists the same sequence under 1 other name.
CCUACGGGAGGCAGCAGUGGGGAAUAUUGGACAAUGGGCGAAAGCCUGAUCCAGCAAUGCCGCGUGAGUGAUGAAGGCCCUCGGGUCGUAAAGCUCUUUUACCAGGGAUGAUAAUGACAGUACCUGGAGAAUAAGCUCCGGCUAACUCCGUGCCAGCAGCCGCGGUAAU